This 83-nucleotide transfer RNA is filed under the name Ehrlichia cf. muris str. EmCRT. RNAcentral's name for it is "tRNA-Leu". It matches the Rfam family "tRNA". From Rfam's summary of the family: Transfer RNA (tRNA) molecules are approximately 80 nucleotides in length. Their secondary structure includes four short double-helical elements and three loops (D, anti-codon, and T loops). Lineage: Bacteria; Pseudomonadati; Pseudomonadota; Alphaproteobacteria; Rickettsiales; Anaplasmataceae. The record is from RNAcentral. RNAcentral also lists the same sequence under 1 other name.
GCCCGAAUGGCGGAACGGUAGACGCGCUAGCUUCAGGUGCUAGUAAUUUUUAUAUUGUGGAAGUUCGACUCUUCUUUCGGGCA